GUAUAGUGGUAAACGUAUACUCUUGGACAAAGAGGAACUUCGUCUUCCUUAUGGAUGACCCGUUGGAUUACUAGUGGUGGGUAAGGCUCCCUAGCCACGAUCCUACCUGCUUGAGGGGUGUCGGCCCCUGGACUGAGCCCGCCCGACUCUUCGGGAGCAGCAUUGGGAUUUUGCCAAUGGCGAAAUCUGAUGAGCAAGCCGCUGAUGAAGAGGCUUCGGUUGUAAGUAUUUCUUGGGAGAACGCGUUGUGCUAAUUCAUCACCCUGACGUACCGACCGAAAAGCACGGCUAAUUCGUGCAGCAGCGCGGUAUUCGUAGGGGCAGCGUUAUUGGAUUAUUGGCGUAAGCGCCGCAGGCGGUUGUUAAUUUGAUGGAAAUCCCCGGCUCAACCUGGAGGGCAUGGAAACUGGUGACUUGAGUCUGUAGAGAGAGUGGAUUCCAUGUGUGCGGUGAAUGCGUAGAGAUUUGAGGAAUACAGUGGCGAAGGCGGUCUCUGGUCAUAACUGACGCUCAGGUCGAAAGCGUGGGAGCAAACAGGAUAGAUACCUGGUAGUCCACCCGUAAACGAUGUCGAUUAGUGGUUGUGCCCUCCAGGAGUCCUUUCGGAGCUAACGCGUUAAGCAGUCCGCCUGGGGAGUACGGCCGCAAGGUUAAAACUCAAAUGAAUUGACGGGGGCCCGCACAAGCGGUGGAGCAUGUGGUUUAAUUCGAUGCAACGCGAAGAACCUUACCUACUCUUGACAUCCAGAGAACAAGCAGAGAUAGAGUGUUGCCUUCGGGAACUAAAAGACAGGUGCUGCAUGGGUGUCGUCAGCUCGUGUUGUGAAAUGUUGGGUUAAGUCCCGCAACGAGCGCAACCUUAUCCUUUGUUGCCAGUGAUUCGGUCGGGAACUCAAAGGAGACUGCCGGUGCUAACCGGGAGGAAGGUGGGGAGGACGUCAAGUCAUCAUGGCCCUUACGCGUAGGGCUCCCCACGUGUUCCAAUGGCGGAUACAAAGAGAAGCGACCUCGCGAGAGCAAGCGGUCUUCAUAAAGUACGUCCUAGUCCGGAUUGGAGUCUGCAACUCGACUCCAUGAAGUCGGAAUCGUUAGUAAUCGUGGAUCAGAAUGCUACGGUGAAUACGUUCCCGGCCUUUGUCCACACGGCCGGUCACACCAUGGGAUUGGGUUCCAAAGGAAGUAGGUAGCUUACCCUUUGGGAGGCCGCUGACCACGGUUGGAUUCAUGACUGGGGAAGUCGUAACAAGACUGCCC
RNAcentral lists this ribosomal RNA (1254 nucleotides) under uncultured bacterium. Its description in RNAcentral is "partial 16S ribosomal RNA". It matches the Rfam family "Bacterial small subunit ribosomal RNA", at positions 173 to 1502 of the family's 1533-position model. The record is from RNAcentral.